This 250-nucleotide ribosomal RNA is filed under the name uncultured bacterium. RNAcentral's name for it is "partial 16S ribosomal RNA". It matches the Rfam family "Bacterial small subunit ribosomal RNA", at positions 524 to 771 of the family's 1533-position model. The record is from RNAcentral.
UACGGAGGGGGCUAGCGUUGUUCGGAAUUACUGGGCGUAAAGCGCACGUAGGCGGCUUUGUAAGUUAGAGGUGAAAGCCCAGGGCUUAACCCUGGAAUUGCCUUUAAGACUGCAUCGCUAGAAUCGUGGGAGAGGUGAGUGGAAUUCCGAGUGUAGAGGUAGAAAUUCGUAGAUAUUCGGAAGAACACCAGUGGCGAAGGCGACUCACUGGACACGUAUUGACGCUGAGGUGCGAAAGCGUGGGGAGCAA